GAUGAACGCUGGCGGCGUGCCUAAUACAUGCAAGUCGAGCGAACAGACGAGGAGCUUGCUCCUCUGACGUUAGCGGCGGACGGGUGAGUAACACGUGGAUAACCUACCUAUAAGACUGGGAUAACUUCGGGAAACCGGAGCUAUACCGGAUAAUAUAUUGAACCGCAUGGUUCAAUAGUGAAAGACGGUUUUGCUGUCACUUAUAGAUGGAUCCGCGCCGCAUUAGCUAGUUGGUAAGGUAACGGCUUACCAAGGCAACGAUGCGUAGCCGACCUGAGAGGGUGAUCGGCCACACUGGAACUGAGACACGGUCCAGACUCCUACGGGAGGCAGCAGUAGGGAAUCUUCCGCAAUGGGCGAAAGCUUGACGGAGCAACGCCGCGUGAGUGAUGAAGGUCUUCGGAUCGUAAAACUCUGUUAUUAGGGAAGAACAAAUGUGUAAGUAACUAUGCACGUCUUGACGGUACCUAAUCAGAAAGCCACGGCUAACUACGUG
This 496-nucleotide ribosomal RNA is filed under the name uncultured bacterium. RNAcentral describes it as "partial 16S ribosomal RNA". It matches the Rfam family "Bacterial small subunit ribosomal RNA", at positions 28 to 507 of the family's 1533-position model. The record is from RNAcentral.